RNAcentral lists this long non-coding RNA (987 nucleotides) under Amborella trichopoda. RNAcentral's name for it is "long non-coding RNA (ATRI_LNC001968)". Lineage: Eukaryota; Viridiplantae; Streptophyta; Magnoliopsida; Amborellales; Amborellaceae. The record is from RNAcentral.
UCUUAUCCUCCUCCGCAUAUCUUCUUAUGUUUGUAGUCUGUUACAGCAAAAGAGCAAUAAUUUCAAUAUUCUUAAAUGGAUUUAAGGCUCAUAUCAAGAGAUAAGCUCUCUGUACCCCCAACAAAUACUUGGACAUUGAUAUAAGAUUAAAGCCACCGUUUACAUGCUACCAUGGGAGCAAAUUGUUUGUACACUCCCUCGGGUAAAAUCGUAUUUAGAGUUUGUAUUAGGAUCCCAGCUAUGGGCCUAAAGAAAAUAACGUCCUAGAUUGACAAAAGACUCUCAAAAUUGCUUGCAGGUGCCUCUUGUACUGCCCCAACACUGCAGGGUUAGAAGAAACUCGACCACAGAUUCAUGGCUUUUCCUUUCAUCACAUCAUGAACCUGCAGCACAAACUUUUUUUUUUUUAUUGGUACAUAAGGUUUUUUUAUAUUUUUUUAUAAGCUCCUUGUAUAGUUUUGAUAAAUAAUUUUAUAAUUCACAUGGGGAUUUUCCUGAUUUUAUUUAUCUCCUUUUUCUGAGUAUUUUCCUUGAGUGAGGGUUCAUGAAUUGUGCUUUCAUCACAUCAUGAACUUGAACCAGAAGGAUCAUUUUUUGUUUGGUACAUAAGGUUUUUCCUUCUUCUUUUUGGGAUAAUUUUUAUAUUUUUUUGUAAGAUAAAUUGUACUUGAAUAUUUUCCUUAUUCUAUUUAAUUAGUUUAUUCUCGGUGUGUUCCUUGAUGUAAAAAGGCUUUGCUCUGCUGACGGUUCUUUGAACUGCAGCAUCAAAAGUUGCAUCUGCAAUGUUCACAUUCAAAACCCUAGAUAUAACUGCAAUCCAGUUGUCCAAUUAGCUCUCUAACUUUAUAGCUGCCUGAGACUCUUGCACUCUCUCAAGCUCCUACAGAUAAAACUCAUCUAAACCUCUCUCUCUCUCUCUCUCUCACAAGUGAAACUCUCUCUUACCACUGGUUAUGAUUCUAUGGACCUUCUAUCUCUCUAGUCUCA